GGGAUCUUUCCAACCCAAUUUUGCAUUUUCUCCACUGACCAAAACCUGGAAUAAGCCAUUAGCAUUAGAGAGAAUCAUUAUCAAACUCAUGUUGGCCAAGCAGAAAAAAUGAGAGGCAGCAUAAAAAGACCCACUGCUGAGGGGCAAGGCAGAUGCCAGGAAAGGAAGACAGAAUUUCCUAAGCAUCAAGAUUAAAAACUAGUGUGAGAUCUGUGCCACUUUCCCGGCCAGCAACAGGCAGCUGGAAUGUGGCCAUCACUGGGCUUGGGAGUAACUGGAGAUUUGUCAAUUAUUCCAUAAAGGGUAAAAAAGAUUCUCCCUGGAAAUCAGAAGUUGCCACUUGCAUGAUGGAUUUCUAAUCUGCUUCUCUCCUCUGCACAGCUGAGAGUUUAACUCCAGACAAACCUUAGCCCAUACAAAUUAGGGAAUAUAUAAAUUUACCCACCUGCCUGUGAAGAACUUGCUGCUUCUUAUUGUGCAGCUCAAGGUGAGCAUUGGUGCCACGGUAUCCUGGAGCUGAUUUCCAGCAGGGAAAACAUCAUUAUUCCCAGCUGGCAGGCACUGCAGGUAAACAGAACGAGCUCCUUUCUCUCCUGAACUCAUCUCCUCCAAGCUGUCCUCUUCCAAGCUGUCAUCCUCCAGGAUGUCAUCAGGAUCCAGCCCUACCAGCCCCUCGUUUUCCAGGAUCCUCUGUUGGAGUCCCAGCUGGUACUGCCUCUCCUCUGCCAGGCUCUUGGAGUCGGAUUCCUGGGAAUCAUCCGAACUGGAGGCAGAGCUCCCAUCCCUUCCAGACGCCCUUUCCCAACUCGCAGGUUGGAAAACGGGUGGCAUGAGGACUUUUGGAGGGACAUGGAUGUUAUUCAUGUUGUAAGUGUGUGGGGAAGAGACUGAAAUGUGUUUCACAUUUGAAGAAUUCAUCCCGAGUUUGGCUUACACCAGCUCUGUGUUUGGAGAACACACAAACAUAAAACAUUGUUACCUUGUCAUAAUAUUUAAAAGCUGAGUUUUGGGUACUGCCAUUGGCUUAGGCUCAGAAUUUGACCUUCUGUUGUUCAGACAACUCUUUAUUCUCAUCUGUCCCACUGAUUUUCCUUUAAGCAGUAAUAUCAAGGUCUCUACAUAUCAAAUACAGGAUUUAUUGCUACGAAAUCUCCACUAUUGAUAGCAAUAAAGAACGCAGAACCAGCUUGCGACAAAGAAAAUGAAGCUGAGGCAAAGCAUCUGUUAUCUGUGAACUUUUGAGAGUUACAAUGAAUUUUGUUUGUUCUCUUUAUGCAACUUUAUACCCCCUGGACAUGUAAAAGCAGCAAGAAGGUGUGACAGGGAACACAGUGAGAACUGGAGCUCUU
Corvus hawaiiensis (hawaiian crow) is the source of this 1349-nucleotide long non-coding RNA. RefSeq lists it as uncharacterized. The transcript has 3 exons. Lineage: Eukaryota; Metazoa; Chordata; Aves; Passeriformes; Corvidae. The record is from RefSeq and is a predicted model, not a curated record.